CGGUCGACGUGAACAAUGGCGACGCUUCAGGCGACCCGACGUGUCGCCCGUGUUGCACACGUGUGCAACGGAUGGUUGUUCCGCUACAAACGCCGAUCGA
RNAcentral lists this transfer RNA (100 nucleotides) under Burkholderia lata. Its description in RNAcentral is "tRNA-Val". Lineage: Bacteria; Pseudomonadati; Pseudomonadota; Betaproteobacteria; Burkholderiales; Burkholderiaceae. The record is from RNAcentral.